GCAGUCUUGGCGUAGUGGAUAAGGGGAUUGACUGGAAAUCAAAAGGUUGCUGGUUUGAUCCCCAGCUCCA
Molecule: non-coding RNA, 70 nt
Organism: Danionella cerebrum
Lineage: Eukaryota; Metazoa; Chordata; Actinopteri; Cypriniformes; Danionidae
Source: the annotation of a GenBank genome assembly